AUUGAAUUAAUAUCAUCUUUGAGACAGUCCAGAAUUGAAAUAAUAUUAUCUUUGAGACAGUCCAGAAGUUUGUUUUUUUAUGAACAGAUUGUAAAUAUGUUUAUUUUGGUUGCCAUUUGUUAUAUUGUAUAGAUAUUGUGAUAUUAAAUUCAGGGUUUUGUUGAUGAAGAGAUUCCUAAGUGAUCACAGCACAUUCCUACAUCAGUUAUAUUUUAAACCAGGAACCAGUUUAUAUUUUCUCUACCAAUCGAAUUGUGGAUUUUUAAAAUAUAUCUAAAAAUGACAACCACAGUCUAACCAUACUUGCUAUUUAAUUUUAUUGGGCAUGGGUUUCAUGGGUAAUAAUUUAUAUUCUGAAAAUAAAAAAAAUAAAUAGGAAUAACUCUCACUUGUGAGAAUAAUUCCUUGAUUUUAACUUUGUGACUGGCUGAUUCAGAAUUUUUAUCAAAGGGGACCAAAAAAAGGAAAAAAAUCUGACAAAUUUACUAAAAAAAUAUAUUUAUUUUGCGAUAAAAAAGGGUGGGACUGUGGGACCCUCUGCAACAGGUAUGUUUUAAGUUUAUUGUAUAAUUUGCCAUUUAGAAAAGUAUGCCCCCCCUUUUUCUUCCAUUGUCAGAAUGAUGCUGUGUGAAUCCUUCAUCCUUCCAUUGUAAUAUGUCACUUGUUAUUAUAUGGCAUUAUGUGAUAUGUGAAUGCCACAAUUAUAUAUAAAAAAACGUCUUUUUACUUUUGUCUUUUUUUG
RNAcentral lists this long non-coding RNA (742 nucleotides) under Mytilus galloprovincialis (Mediterranean mussel). The record is from RNAcentral. Lineage: Eukaryota; Metazoa; Mollusca; Bivalvia; Mytilida; Mytilidae.